GGCGAUCCCCGCCCCGCCCCUCCCUCCGGCUCCCGACGGAGGCUCCGCCCCCAGCCCGAGACUUGGCGCCGUCCGACCCGGGAGCGAGCGCCCCUUUGCACCCUUCUCCAAGGAUGGCCCCGCGGGGCUCUGCAGGGACGAGUUUCGGUGUCUGCAGCCUUCCCUUUCCCAUAACGUGCGCGUAGAAAGCUUUCUGUGGAACGUUACCUCUGAGGCCAGUUGCCAAAACCCAACCAUAAGGGUGUCAUCCCAUGGACCAUAUCUUAGAGGUUUUUACUUACAAGGUCAGGGCUCACCAGAUGACGAGAGAGAGAGGACUCAUUACCAGGGCUCCAAGCUGGUGUUUUGCUCAAAAAGGAAUUUGCUUUCAAACAGACAUGUAUUCACUAAUCUCUUUUCUUUAAAAAAAUAAAUAAAUAAAACAAACACAAAAUCUCUUCCA
Molecule: long non-coding RNA, 442 nt
Organism: Bos indicus x Bos taurus (hybrid cattle)
Lineage: Eukaryota; Metazoa; Chordata; Mammalia; Artiodactyla; Bovidae
Source: Ensembl